This 253-nucleotide ribosomal RNA is filed under the name uncultured bacterium. RNAcentral describes it as "partial 16S ribosomal RNA". It matches the Rfam family "Bacterial small subunit ribosomal RNA", at positions 524 to 776 of the family's 1533-position model. The record is from RNAcentral.
UACGUAGGGGGCAAGCGUUGUCCGGAUUUAUUGGGCGUAAAGAGCGUGUAGGCGGCUGGGUAGGUCCGUUGUGAAAACUCGAGGCUCAACCUCGAGACGCCGAUGGAAACCCUCCAGCUAGAGUCCGGAAGAGGAGAGUGGAAUUCCUGGUGUAGCGGUGAAAUGCGCAGAUAUCAGGAAGAACACCCGUGGCGAAAGCGGCUCUCUGGAACGGUACUGACGCUGAGACGCGAAAGCGUGGGGAGCGAACAGG